Molecule: ribosomal RNA, 690 nt
Filed under: Streptomyces variabilis
Lineage: Bacteria; Bacillati; Actinomycetota; Actinomycetes; Kitasatosporales; Streptomycetaceae
Description: bacterial SSU rRNA
Rfam family: Bacterial small subunit ribosomal RNA
Source: RNAcentral
CCACCCGGGUAGUCUGGCCUGCACUCUGUGACGAUGCCUGGAAACGGUAUCUAAUACCGGAUACUGACCCGCUUGGGCAUCCAAGCGGUUCGAAAGCUCCGGCGGUGCAGGAUGAGCCCGCGGCCUAUCAGCUUGUUGGUGAGGUAAUGGCUCACCAAGGCGACGACGGGUAGCCGGCCUGAGAGGGCGACCGGCCACACUGGGACUGAGACACGGCCCAGACUCCUACGGGAGGCAGCAGUGGGGAAUAUUGCACAAUGGGCGAAAGCCUGAUGCAGCGACGCCGCGUGAGGGAUGACGGCCUUCGGGUUGUAAACCUCUUUCAGCAGGGAAGAAGCGAAAGUGACGGUACCUGCAGAAGAAGCGCCGGCUAACUACGUGCCAGCAGCCGCGGUAAUACGUAGGGCGCGAGCGUUGUCCGGAAUUAUUGGGCGUAAAGAGCUCGUAGGCGGCUUGUCACGUCGGUUGUGAAAGCCCGGGGCUUAACCCCGGGUCUGCAGUCGAUACGGGCAGGCUAGAGUUCGGUAGGGGAGAUCGGAAUUCCUGGUGUAGCGGUGAAAUGCGCAGAUAUCAGGAGGAACACCGGUGGCGAAGGCGGAUCUCUGGGCCGAUACUGACGCUGAGGAGCGAAAGCGUGGGGAGCGAACAGGAUUAGAUACCCUGGUAGUCCACGCCGUAAACGGUGGGCAC